Non-coding RNA from Acanthosepion pharaonis, 100 nucleotides. The record is from the annotation of a GenBank genome assembly. Lineage: Eukaryota; Metazoa; Mollusca; Cephalopoda; Sepiida; Sepiidae.
CGUUGAAACAUCGGUUCCCGUACGAUCACCGAAGUUAAGCAACGUCGAACCUGAUCACUAUCUAGAUGGGUGACUGCUUGAAAAUACUAGGUGAUGUAAG